UCAACCAAUUAUUUCUCCAAACAACUUCUAGUAUUUAAUUUCAUCUUAGAUUUCAUUUUAGUAGGCAAUGGGCCUCCACUGAAAGUUUCGAUUAGGUCCAACCAUUAACAUGAACCUACUCAGUGAUUCUAGCCAAAGAAUGAUCAGGUUCGAGUAUGGCUCGGUCAAUCUGACCACCAUCAAAUAGUUCAACAGAGUCAUCAUAUGAUGAAUGAUAAUUUCAUCAUUCAGAGAGAACACC
Molecule: long non-coding RNA, 241 nt
Filed under: Elaeis guineensis (African oil palm)
Lineage: Eukaryota; Viridiplantae; Streptophyta; Magnoliopsida; Arecales; Arecaceae
Description: long non-coding RNA (EGUI_LNC070577)
Source: RNAcentral